RNAcentral lists this ribosomal RNA (253 nucleotides) under uncultured bacterium. Its description in RNAcentral is "partial 16S ribosomal RNA". It matches the Rfam family "Bacterial small subunit ribosomal RNA", at positions 524 to 776 of the family's 1533-position model. The record is from RNAcentral.
UACGUAGGGCGCGAGCGUUGUCCGGAAUUAUUGGGCGUAAAGAGCUCGUAGGCGGUUUGUCGCGUCUGCCGUGAAAGUCCGGGGCUCAACUCCGGAUCUGCGGUGGGUACGGGCAGACUAGAGUGAUGUAGGGGAGACUGGAAUUCCUGGUGUAGCGGUGAAAUGCGCAGAUAUCAGGAGGAACACCGAUGGCGAAGACAGGUCUCUGGGCAUUAACUGACGCUGAGGAGCGAAAGCAUGGGGAGCGAACAGG